GUUUCAAACAAAUUGAUUAGCAAAAGCAGUCCAGGUGCUAGACUUCUAGUCCAUAGGGUUUUAAUCCAAUCCACCAUCCCUAUUAAAAGGUAAAGGGGUAUGACAUAUUUUGAAUAAAUAUUUAUGUGUAUUAUUUAAUUCUCACAGCAUCUUUUGUGGUAAAUAUGACAUCCACUUCAUAAAGUGAAGCAGAAGAUAAAGCCCAUCGGUUUUGGCCUAAAACCAGAGCCAGAGCCUCCAUUCUGCAGCGCUGCCUCCCUUUCAAAAGAAAAGUGAGGUGUGUACGAGUCCAGGCUCACCUACUGAUCCCCCCAAAAAUGUCAGACCUGCCGCCCGCAGAAGUCGUCCACAUUUCUAUUUCGAUGGCUCCCUCGCUGGCCGGCUCUGUUUAAGACUGAAGAAUGAAUUAAACUUCGCUCUAGUCGUUGACGGUCUCUACUUCUAAGUGGAAAAGCCUGAGAACUAACUGAAUUUUACACAAUCAUCUCCCAAACCCUAACCGGACCCUCUCCAACACGUGAGUGUGCCAUCUCCCCAUACAGUAGUAAGAACUGGAACAAUGUUUUAGUGAACUAAAGCAAAGCAUGAAAAGCAAUUGUUGUCUUUCUGCCUCUACCACACUUUUACUCUUCCUCCCUUCCCUCCAACUAAAGAUGGAUCCUAAACCUUCUAUGACGUUUCAAGGAAAACGGAAUUUAGAACCCUGGCAGGCGUUUGACCUCCCAUCUCUCCCAUCCAGCAUGAUGGCAGCUCCGAGGCUUAGAAGUGCUACAAGGCGGUCUGCAGGCCCAGGAUGGAGCUUGGCAGGGCCCUGUGGAGUAGCAGGGCUGGAGCUGCAGGCCAAGCUACUUCUGCAAGUCAGCCUUCUGAUGUGUGAUCGAGGCCCAAGCAGGAAUGUGAGGGAGAGGUGUGCUGCUCUUCUGAGCUCUACCUGGCUUUCACCAAGAUCAGGGACUUGACUUCCUUAUUUUCUCACCUCCCUUUGAUACCCAACAGCAAAGCACAUCCGGGUUGUUGACUCAACAAAUUCCUUGAGCUUGAAAGGAUGUGAGAUGUUGACCAAAAGGAAGAUCCUAAGCCAUCCUGUCCAUACUGCAAACCAAGUGGUUUCAUCAAGAUCCUCAUUUUUGGAACACAUUCGAAACCUUAGGGAGGGCAAAGCGGGGAAAGCAGUUGCAAAACUAAAGGGUCCCAAUUUUGGCAGGAAGGGAGGAGAGGUGCGAAUAUACACUGGAAAAAUGUAUCAAUUCUUUGAGUAUUUCUUCUGACAGGGUCUCACUAUGUAGUUCAGGCUGGCCUCGCUCUUGCAGCAGUCCUGCCUCCGCUGCCUGAGUGGCACUACACACAGCUCUAAGUAGUUCUUUUAAGUAUCAUUUUAAGAGCCUCCUACACAACACACG
Molecule: long non-coding RNA, 1400 nt
Filed under: Fukomys damarensis (Damara mole-rat)
Lineage: Eukaryota; Metazoa; Chordata; Mammalia; Rodentia; Bathyergidae
Description: lncRNA (ENSFDAG00000024956.1)
Source: RNAcentral